CCCUAGCGCCAAGCCGCACUGCCGACGCUACUGCCGCCAGCGAUGCCGAGCGCCGGCCACCAGGACCGGUACCAAUCGUCAGUGCCCUAGCCUCAGCCCGCGACACCCAUCUCCUCGGGUCGCCACCGCUGGCAGCGGCGUUGCCAGCCGAAGCCCUAGAGUUGAUUCCUCUCUUCCUCGCUUCUCCUGAACGUCGGCAGAUGACCUAUUGCCUCUGCCCUAGCUUGGAUCGCGAGCCCUCCUCUGCGCCCUAGCUCCCUGAUUUGAGGAGUUUCCUCUUCUGCCAUUGCUGAGAGCCGAGAGCCGCCGUCGCACGGAGAGUGCCGGCCAUCCUUCCUCUGCCCUCGAGGCCGAGCCACAUUGUCGAGUUCUCUUUUCCCUUCGUGCCGUCUGCUCUAGUCGCCUUGCACCGUCACCACAGCCGAACCACUUCACCGGCCACCAGGAUUUUGUGCUGUGGAGUGUCUGAUUUCCAGGUGCUAAUCCUCUCCGGCAGUAAAUUGCCUUGGCUGUGAUUGAAGGUUAUUGCUUGGAUUCCAGCAACUACCUCUGUUCCGGCAGCAACGUUACCGGUUGAGGCUUCAGAAUUAGGGUUUUGACACGAGACGAGCAUCUCGACGUCCGAGUUGGACCGGACUGAUCUUAUUUUCCU
This is a long non-coding RNA of Zingiber officinale, 652 nucleotides long. RefSeq lists it as uncharacterized. NCBI's taxonomy places the organism in Eukaryota, Viridiplantae, Streptophyta, Magnoliopsida, Zingiberales, Zingiberaceae. The record is from RefSeq and is a predicted model, not a curated record. The transcript has 4 exons.